AAGGUAAACAGGGUAAAGUUUUACAUCGUGCCUUACUCAUGUUACAGAUGAUGAAGCCCAGAAUGGUGCCACAGACAGCUGUGUGACCUCAUCACCUCACACAGGUCAACAUUUUGAGACCAAAGAUGAUGCAACCCAGAAUGGUGCCACAGACAGCUGUGUGACCUCAUCACCUCACACAGGUCAACAUUUUGAGACCAAAGAUGAUGCAGCCCAGAAUGGUGCCACAGACAGCUGUGUGACCUCAUCACCUCACACGGGUCAACAUUUUGAGACCAAAGAUGGUGCAGCCCCGAAUGAUGCCACAACCAGCUUUGAGAAUGACAGUGUAGGGGAGAAUGAGCUCCACCUUCAGGUUCAGCAGCUGUUACAAGAUAGAACAUCAUUACAAAGAAUAGUUGCAGAAAGAGAAGCGAAGAUAGUUGUUCUUCACAAGGCAAAAAUGAAGAAGGAAAAGGAGUUGAAUGCUAUGGAAAAGGAAAUAGGAAAACUACAAGACAGCUUACGGUGUUCUCAGGACAAAAUAUGCAUAGCCAAGAAGAAUCUUAGCCAAAUGUUCUCACGCUCACAAAUUGAUCAUAUAUUUGCUGAGAAAAAUAUUACUAAUUGGAGUGAGGACGAUAUCAGCCGAGCACUAACUCUGAAAAGUUUAAGCCCAAAAGCUUACUUUUUUCUAAGAGAAAAAUGGAACUUUCCCCUGCCAUCUAAGUCAACAUUAAAUCGACAUGCCAGGAAAAUGGAUGCGGAACCAGGAAUUUUAUUAGCUAUUAUGAAUUUACUUAAAUUCAAAGCAGAGGCUAUGCCAGAGCGAGACCGAGUUUGUGCUCUAUCUUUUGAUGAAUGUAGCAUCUCAAAGGAAUGGUCAUAUGACAAGG
Molecule: long non-coding RNA, 875 nt
Organism: Eriocheir sinensis (Chinese mitten crab)
Lineage: Eukaryota; Metazoa; Arthropoda; Malacostraca; Decapoda; Varunidae
Exons: 4
Source: RefSeq, a predicted model, not a curated record